CCUACGGGUGGCAGCAGUAGGGAAUUUUCGGCAAUGGGCGGAAGCCUGACCGAGCAACGCCGCGUGAACGAAGAAGGUAUUCGUAAUGUAAAGUUCUUUUAACAGGGAAGAAAGAGAAAUUUGACGGUACCUGACGAAUAAGCUCCGGCUAACUACGUGCCAGCAGCCGCGGUAAUACGUAGGGAGCGAGCGUUAUCCGGAAUUAUUGGGCGUAAAGGGUGCGUAGAGGGCAUAGUAAGUCUUGUGUAAAAUUGCGGGGUUCAACCCAGGAGGGCAAAAGAUACUGCAAAGCUAGAGUAGGAGAGAGGCAAGUGGAACUACUUGUGUAGCGGUAAAAUGCGUAGAUACAUGGAAGAACACCAGUGGCGAAGGCGGCAUGCUGGGUCGAUACUGACGUUGAGGCACGAAAGCGUGGGGAGCAAACAGGAUUAGAUACCCGAGUAGUC
RNAcentral lists this ribosomal RNA (446 nucleotides) under uncultured bacterium. RNAcentral describes it as "partial 16S ribosomal RNA". It matches the Rfam family "Bacterial small subunit ribosomal RNA", at positions 338 to 795 of the family's 1533-position model. The record is from RNAcentral.